This is a long non-coding RNA of Notolabrus celidotus (New Zealand spotty), 252 nucleotides long. RefSeq lists it as uncharacterized. NCBI's taxonomy places the organism in Eukaryota, Metazoa, Chordata, Actinopteri, Labriformes, Labridae. The record is from RefSeq and is a predicted model, not a curated record. The transcript is spliced from 3 exons.
UGAUUGGCGCCGUGGUGGGCGUGGUCAGUUUGAUUGGCUGUAUCUCAGCUGGUAAAGAGUUCGACUGUGCUGAUCUACCUGGGCUUCCUCAUGGUGUGGUCCUGGGUCAGCUGUUCGUCACUCUGCUGUUGAGCCUAAAUAAGGGCAAGGUCGGAGAGAGAGUGAACGCCAUGUGGAGACCAUGAUCGUUGAGUACACAGGACGCAGAGGCAGUCUGGACACCAUGAUCGACAACAUACAGCACUAUGUGAG